UGAACGCUGGCGGCAGGCCUAACACAUGCAAGUCGAACGGCAGCACAAGAGAGCUUGCUCUCUGGGUGGCGAGUGGCGGACGGGUGAGGAAUGCAUCGGAAUCUGCCCAUUUGUGGGGGAUAACCUCGGGAAACCGGGACUAAUACCGCAUACGACCUACGGUUGAAAGCAGGGGAUCUUCGGACCUUGCGCAGAUGGAUGAGCCGAUGCCGGAUUAGCUAGUUGGAGGGGUAAAGGCCCACCAAGGCGACGAUCCGUAGCUGGUCUGAGAGGAUGAUCAGCCACACUGGGACUGAGACACGGCCCAGACUCCUACGGGAGGCAGCAGUGGGGAAUAUUGGACAAUGGGCGCAAGCCUGAUCCAGCCAUGCCGCGUGUGUGAAGAAGGCCUUCGGGUUGUAAAGCACUUUUGUUGGGAAAGAAAAGCAGCCGGUUAAUACCCGGUUGUCAUGACGGUACCCAAAGAAUAAGCACCGGCUAACUUCGUG
RNAcentral lists this ribosomal RNA (488 nucleotides) under uncultured bacterium. RNAcentral's name for it is "partial 16S ribosomal RNA". It matches the Rfam family "Bacterial small subunit ribosomal RNA", at positions 30 to 507 of the family's 1533-position model. The record is from RNAcentral.